CCUAUGGGGGGCUGCAGUAAGGAAUAUUGGUCAAUGGAGGAAACUCUGAACCAGCCAUCCCGCGUGAAGGAUGAAGGGGCUCUGCCUUGUAAACUUCUUUUGUCUGGGGCGAAAAAGCUCGAUUUAUCGAGAACUGACGGUACCAGAAGAAUAAGCACCGGCUAACUCCGUGCCAGCAGCCGCGGUAAUACGGAGGGUGCAAGAGUUAUCGGGAAUCAAGGGGGCGUAGGCGUGCGAGGACGGCAGUGGUGAAAGGCUGUGGCUUAACCAUGGAAGUGCCAUUGAUACUGCAGAGCUUGAAUGAGGUUGAGGUUGGCGGAAUGUGACAUGUAGCGGUGAAAUGCUUAGAUAUGUCAUGGAACACCGAUUGCGAAGGCAGCUGACUGGACCUAUAUUGACGCUGAGGCACGAAAGCGUGGGGAGCGAACAGGAUUAGAUACCCUAGUAGUC
This 450-nucleotide ribosomal RNA is filed under the name uncultured bacterium. RNAcentral describes it as "partial 16S ribosomal RNA". It matches the Rfam family "Bacterial small subunit ribosomal RNA", at positions 338 to 795 of the family's 1533-position model. The record is from RNAcentral.